UACAGAGGUCUCAAGCGUUGUUCGGAUUCAUUGGGCGUAAAGGGUGCGUAGGUGGCGGGGUAAGUCAGGUGUGAAAUUUCGGAGCUUAACUCCGAAACUGCAUUUGAUACUGCCUUGCUUGAGGACUGGAGAGGAGACUGGAAUUCACGGUGUAGCAGUGAAAUGCGUAGAGAUCGUAAGGAAGACCAGUGGCGAAGGCGGGUCUCUGGACAGUUCCUGACACUGAGGCACGAAGGCCAGGGGAGCAAACGGG
RNAcentral lists this ribosomal RNA (253 nucleotides) under uncultured bacterium. Its description in RNAcentral is "partial 16S ribosomal RNA". It matches the Rfam family "Bacterial small subunit ribosomal RNA", at positions 524 to 776 of the family's 1533-position model. The record is from RNAcentral.